This 227-nucleotide long non-coding RNA is filed under the name Vigna radiata. RNAcentral describes it as "long non-coding RNA (VRAD_LNC010665)". Lineage: Eukaryota; Viridiplantae; Streptophyta; Magnoliopsida; Fabales; Fabaceae. The record is from RNAcentral.
AUUUUUCAAUUAUCCAUACAAUUUACUUUUAUUUCUAUUAGAAAGUCUUAAUUAUUCCAUUAUAAAUAUAUUCUCACACUUUGUACGAAAGCAAAUUUUUCAUGCAAAUCAUUGAGUUCUUCCUCUAGGUCUCUUAUUUCAUUAUUGAAUUUCAAUAAUUCAAUUUUUAUUAAUAACUUUAUUUUGUUAUUUUAUUUUUUAAAUAACUUAAAUACGAUUUAGGUUUU